UCCCACGUUAAACCUCACCACAUUUUGCAAUUAUCAGCCUAUAUACCGCCGUCGUAUGUUUACCCCAUGAGGGUGCAUAAGUAAACACAACAGUAACAUACUAAAACAUCAGGUCAAGGUGUAGCUAACAAAGUGGAAGAGAUGGGCNNNNNNNNCUACAACAGAACACACGACAAAUACAAUGAAAGACUGCAUUACAAGGUGGAUUUAGCAGUAAACUAAGGCAAGAAUGCCAACUUU
RNAcentral lists this ribosomal RNA (240 nucleotides) under Rhineura floridana. Its description in RNAcentral is "partial 12S ribosomal RNA". The record is from RNAcentral. Lineage: Eukaryota; Metazoa; Chordata; Lepidosauria; Squamata; Rhineuridae.